UACAGGGGGUGCAAACGUUGCUCGGAAUCAUUGGGCGUAAAGCGCACGUAGGCGGUUCGUUAUGUCGGAUGUGAAAGCCCUUGGCUUAACCGAGGAAGUGCAUCCGAAACUGGCGAGCUAGAGUACGAAAGAGGAUCGCGGAAUUCCUGGUGUAGCGGUGGAAUGCGCAGAUAUCAGGAGGAACACCAAUGGCGAAGGCAGCUCUCUGGUACGUGACUGACGCUGAGACGCGAAAGCGUGGGGAGCAAACAGG
Molecule: ribosomal RNA, 253 nt
Filed under: uncultured bacterium
Lineage: Bacteria
Description: partial 16S ribosomal RNA
Rfam family: Bacterial small subunit ribosomal RNA
Source: RNAcentral